Molecule: long non-coding RNA, 588 nt
Filed under: Equus caballus (horse)
Lineage: Eukaryota; Metazoa; Chordata; Mammalia; Perissodactyla; Equidae
Description: lncRNA (ENSECAG00000047986.1)
Source: RNAcentral
AGCAAUUAUUAUUAUUGUUUUUGUUAUUGGUGUUACUAUAUUAUUGUUGAUGAUAAUGACAAAAGAAAAAUGACCAGAUUUCAAGACAAACAGAUCUUUUUGAACCCAACCCAACUGCUUGGAUUCAAAUCCCUGCUUAGCCUUUUGUUAGCUGUUGACUUAGUACAAGUUAUGUAACCUCUCUCUCCCUUAGUUCCUCAUUGGUAACAUGGAGAUAAUCAUAGGAUUUAUCUCACAGGGUUCUUGUGAAGGUAAAAGACAUGAGACAAGUAAAGUACUUUAGCCCAGAAGCUCUACCAUGGUUACCAAGGCAGCUCUGCUCCUUGUGUCUCUCAUCCUCCUACCGAAGCCAGUGGUCAGCCAGUACGUGUUCUUCUCAUGACCAUGGUAGAAUCCAAGAGGACGAGCUCCACUGUGCAAGUUCACUUCAAGUUCUUGCUUGGUUCACUUCCAAUAACCUCCCAAACCAAGUUACAUGGAAAACCCAAAACCAAGGGGCAAAAAGUAUACUCUACUUUUUGUUGGAGAAACUGAAAAGUUACGUGGUUUUAGUGUGCAGAAUAUGAAUAGAAGAGAUGUGAAAAUAGG